CUCUGAAGCUACAUGAAGUUUGGAGGUGUGUAGUGAUGAACUCUGAAGCUACAUGAAGUUUGGAGGUGUGUAGUGAUGAACUCUGAAGCUACAUGAAGUUUGGAGGUGUGUAGUAGUGAUGAACUCUGAAGCUACAUGAAGUUUGGAGGUGUGUAGUAGUGAUGAACUCUGAAGCUACAUGAAGUUUGGAGGUGUGUAGUAGUGAUGAACUCUGAAGCUACAUGGAGUUUGGAGGUGUGUAGUAGUGAUGAACUCUGAAGCUACAUGAAGUUUGGAGGUGUGUAUUGAUGAACUCUGAAGCUACAUGAAGUUUGGAGGUGUGUAGUAGUGAUGAACUCUGAAGCUACAUGAAGUUUGGAGGUGUGUAGUGAUGAACUCUGAAGCUACAUGAAGUUUGGAGGUGUGUAGUAGUGAUGAACUCUGAAGCUACAUGAAGUUUGGAGGUGUGUAGUAGUGAUGAACUCUGAAGCUACAUGGAGUUUGGAGGUGUGUAGUAGUGAUGAACUCUGAAGCUACAUGAAGUUUGGAGGUGUGUAGUAGUGAUGAACUCUGAAGCUGCAUGAAGUUUGGAGGUGUGUAGUAGUGAUGAACUCUGAAGCUACAUGAAGUUUGGAGGUGUGUAGUGAUGAACUCUGAAGCUACAUGAAGUUUGGAGGUGUGUAGUGAUGUAGUGACUCUGCAGAAAGUUGGUGAACUCUUUGCACUAUGCUCCUCAGCAUCCGCUGACCCCGCUCUGUUAUUGUGAACUGACUGAACACAGAGUCGCUGUCAUUUCCAAUCUCGUCCACUGUGUUAUAACAUCACUGACAGUUGGCUGUGGAAUAUUUAGUAGUGAGUAGUGAAAUUUC
Long non-coding RNA from Astyanax mexicanus (Mexican tetra), 848 nucleotides. RefSeq lists it as uncharacterized. Lineage: Eukaryota; Metazoa; Chordata; Actinopteri; Characiformes; Acestrorhamphidae. The transcript has 3 exons. The record is from RefSeq and is a predicted model, not a curated record.